GAUGAACGCUGGCGGCGUGCUUAACACAUGCAAGUCGAGCGAAGCACUUACCAUUGACUCUUCGGAAGAUUUGGUAAAUGACUGAGCGGCGGACGGGUGAGUAACGCGUGGGUAACCUGCCUCAUACAGGGGAAUAACAGUUAGAAAUGGCUGCUAAUGCCGCAUAAGCGCACAGUACCGCAUGGUACGGUGUGAAAAACCGAGGUGGUAUGAGAUGGACCCGCGUCUGAUUAGGUAGUUGGUGGGGUAACGGCCUACCAAGCCGACGAUCAGUAGCCGGCCUGAGAGGGUGAACGGCCACAUUGGGACUGAGACACGGCCCAGACUCCUACGGGAGGCAGCAGUGGGGAAUAUUGCACAAUGGGGGAAACCCUGAUGCAGCGACGCCGCGUGAAGGAAGAAGUAUCUCGGUAUGUAAACUUCUAUCAGCAGGGAAGAAAAUGACGGUACCUGACWA
RNAcentral lists this ribosomal RNA (457 nucleotides) under uncultured bacterium. RNAcentral describes it as "bacterial SSU rRNA". It matches the Rfam family "Bacterial small subunit ribosomal RNA", at positions 28 to 485 of the family's 1533-position model. The record is from RNAcentral.